GCUGGGCGUGGUGAUGCACACCUGUAAUCCCAGUGCCUUGGGAGGCUGAGGAAGGAGGAUCGCAGGCUCAAAGCCAGCCUCAGCUAAGGCGAGGAGCUAAGCAACUCAGUGAGACCCUGUCUCUA
RNAcentral lists this small RNA (125 nucleotides) under Marmota monax (woodchuck). The record is from RNAcentral. Lineage: Eukaryota; Metazoa; Chordata; Mammalia; Rodentia; Sciuridae.